This 497-nucleotide ribosomal RNA is filed under the name uncultured bacterium. Its description in RNAcentral is "partial 16S ribosomal RNA". It matches the Rfam family "Bacterial small subunit ribosomal RNA", at positions 28 to 507 of the family's 1533-position model. The record is from RNAcentral.
GAUGAACGCUGGCGGCGUGCCUAAUACAUGCAAGUCGAGCGAACGGACGAGAAGCUUGCUUUUCUGAUGUUAGCGGCGGACGGGUGAGUAACACGUGGAUAACCUACCUAUAAGACUGGGAUAACUUCGGGAAACCGGAGCUAAUACCGGAUAAUAUUUUGAACCGCAUGGUUCAAAAGUGAAAGACGGUCUUGCUGUCACUUAUAGAUGGAUCCGCGCUGCAUUAGCUAGUUGGUAAGGUAACGGCUUACCAAGGCAAAGAUGCAUAGCCGACCUGAGAGGGUGAUCGGCCACACUGGAACUGAGACACGGUCCAGACUCCUACGGGAGGCAGCAGUAGGGAAUCUUCCGCAAUGGGCGAAAGCCUGACGGAGCAACGCCGCGUGAGUGAUGAAGGUCUUCGGAUCGUAAAACUCUGUUAUUAGGGAAGAACAUAUGUGUAAGUAACUGUGCACAUCUUGACGGUACCUAAUCAGAAAGCCACGGCUAACUACGUG